AAACGAAACUAUGUGUCAGUAGAAUGGCUGGCACUAGACCCAGAUAUGUGCCUCCCUCCUUCAAAACAAAGCUGUGCACCUGAGAACUGCGACUAUCAGCCUUGAUACCCUCCUCAACCAAGACCUUGCUUUUCUCCAGGCCCCCAUUGCUGUGCGGCUGGGCAAAGUAGCCAUUGACCGAGGAAUGGAGGUGGACAUUGCCUCAGGGAUGGCCAUUGAAGGGAUAUGCUAUGCCCAGAACAUUCCAACCCGGGACCGGCUAGAGGGCAUGGCAGCCUUCAGGGAGAAGCGGCCCCCGAAAUUUGUUGGUGAAUGACCCCCAUUUAACCUUCAGCACGGGAGAUGCAUGCCCUGAAGAGCAGGAUCCAGAAGGAAGAUUUGCAGCUGGACUGCCCUCAUCAUUUCGCCUCUCCAGGCUUCCAUUUCUUCACAAGGAUGAUGAUGGAGAUAAAAUGGCUGGCGUGAUGCCUAGAACCAAGGUGCUGACCCUACCACCUACUGCUACCCUCCUUAUCUUGAUUAGACAUAAUCAAUAGGGUUGGAUUUGCUUUGGAAUAUGCCUCUCUCUACUUGAAUGAUAACGAAUUAAAAUAGAUCCCUCUGGGUCUUGGUAUUAUUGGCUCUCAGCCCCUGACCUCUCUCCUCUCAGUUAUCAGGCACUCACCAGAGAUGUCAAGAGAUUUUAAGAUACUCCUAGUUUCUCCCCUUGGACCAUAGAGGUAAUAAACAAACUCUGACACUGGUUGACCAUGCAGACUGCAGAUCCCAGUCUCAGCUAGUCACUUGCUGUAUAACCUUAGACAAAUUGUUUCAACACUCUGGGCCUCAGCUUUCUCACCUACAAAAUGAAACUUGUGAAGAUUUAGCAAAAUAAAAACAUCUCAUUCAAUAA
Long non-coding RNA from Sapajus apella (tufted capuchin), 892 nucleotides. RefSeq lists it as uncharacterized. The record is from RefSeq and is a predicted model, not a curated record. The transcript has 3 exons. Lineage: Eukaryota; Metazoa; Chordata; Mammalia; Primates; Cebidae.